Passer montanus (Eurasian tree sparrow) is the source of this 8287-nucleotide RNA transcript. It is a transcript of the gene named BTB domain and CNC homolog 1, with no coding region annotated. The transcript is spliced from 7 exons. The record is from RefSeq and is a predicted model, not a curated record. Lineage: Eukaryota; Metazoa; Chordata; Aves; Passeriformes; Passeridae.
GGCCCGUGCGGGGUCGGGGGUCCCGCCCGCGGGGGCGCCGGGGCGGUGGCGGAGGCGCUUCGUCAGCGCCGGGCAGCGGCGGCGGCUGUGCCUCGGCGGUGCCCUGCGGAGGGUGUUGCCCCCUUCCCCGAGAGCGCUCCGUGUCCCGGUCCCCGGGGUGCCCUUGUGCCCCGUGGCACCGGCGGGAGUCCCGCGCCGCGCUGCCCGCGGAAGGGCCGGCUCAGCCCCGCUCGGCCGGCUGAGGGUGCCGCCGGUGUUCGUGUGCCUUUGCCGGGAGCCGGGGAAGGUCUGUUUUAGACUGUAAACAACGAAAUCCAAGUGCUGCCCGUCCUGUUCGGUGCGCCGAGAUCCUCGGCACGCUUUGGGGCUCGGUGGAAAUGUGGUGUGAAGCACAGAAGCAUGCUUUCCACUGAGCCUCACACUGCCACCUGUGAUACAGAAUGUCUCUAAGUGAGAGCAACAGUGUGGUGUUUGCCUAUGAAUCCUCAGUGCACAGUACCAAUGUACUCCUCAGCCUCGAUGAUCAGCGCAAGCAAGAUAUCCUUUGUGAUGUUACCAUUUUAGUGGAGGAUCAGCGAUUUCGGGCCCACAGAGCUGUGCUUGCAGCUUGCAGCAGUUACUUCCUUUCAAGAAUUGUGGGCCAGGUGGAUGCUGAUCUUAUCAUCACCUUGCCGGAAGAGGUUACACUUAAAGGAUUUAGUCCUUUGCUUCAGUUUGCAUAUACAGCAAAACUUGUUUUAAAUAAAGACAAUGUGUCUGAAGUUUGCAAAUGUGCAGAAUUUUUGGGUGUACGCAACAUUGAAGAGUCCUGCUUUCAAUUUCUCAAAUUCAGAUUUUUGGACUUUAAAUUGGAUCAGCAGGAAUGUCCUAGGAAAAAGUGUUGCACACAGCGUUGUCAGAAAGCAAACCCUAAAACUGGCAAUGUGGAUGAUGGAGACCUAGAAAUAAAUGAUGAAGUAGAAGCACUUCUAGAAAAGGAAUAUAGUCAAAUUCCUGACACAAAGCCCUGUAAAGAUGAAGAAAAUGCUAAAUCAUUGCCUGUUCUCCAAAAUAAUGCCAAUCAAAACUGUGAUCCUGUACAUUUAGAAAGGGGUAAUGCUUCCAGCUUAUCUUCCCAAUGCCCAAAGUAUAGAAAAUUCCAGAAAGCUUUUGGAAAUGACAAAGUUAAUACUUCAGAGUCCAGCUCCAGUAUUAAAGAUGUUCAGGUACCACCAUUUGCAACUUCUCUUGAGAAGGAAAUACCUGAUAACGAUGGCAUACAAAAAGCUCAGGAGUGUGUGCCUAUGCAGCUGAUCUCAAACUGUGAAGAGACUCAGGUAGAAAUGGAAGAAGGGGAAGAAGGCAUUCAGAAAAAAGAAGAGUCAAGGAGAGAUUCUGUAACUCGGAAUGUGUCAUGUCCUGUGGAGAAAAUGGAUCUUGCUGCUUUUCCCCAAAACUCUGCUGCACCUCAUGGACUCAAUUCUGUGUCUAUUUUACAUAGUUGUGAGCAAUAUGGUAACUUGAAUUUCAGUAGUAUGCAAAACAACACAGUCUUAGCUGAAAAAACUGUGUCAAGUACUGGAGCUGGAAAUGACAAAACUGAAAGUCAGGGUAACCCAUCUUCAAAGGUGGAUUUGUGCAUUAGGGAAGCCACUAGCAUCACCUCAGCUGGAGAUCGAAGCAGUGUGGAGAGAGAGAUAGCAGAACAGCUAGCACAGGGGUUCUGGAGUGAUGUUCACAGCACAGAUGCCUGUCAAAUACAUUUACCACCUGCAGUUUCUAAAGAGUAUUUGGAGCCCACCUACUCGGGGAAAAAAUCAGAGUGUCCGUGGCUGGGGAUCAGGAUCAGUGAAAGCCCUGAACCUUGCUCUCAGCGAACUUUUACAACACUGAAUUCAGUCAAUUGCCCCUUUAUAAGCAACCUUAGCACUGAAGGAUGUUCCAGCACCUCUGAAAUAAACAGUGGAGAUUAUGUUCAAGGACAGCAACAAGAACAGUGUCCCUAUAACUAUGUGAUAAGUUUGGGAGAGGAUUCGGAGACUGACACUGAGGGAGACAGUGAAUCCUGUUCAGCAAGAGAACAAGAAUGUGAGGUAAAACUGCCAUUUAAUGCACAAAGGAUUAUCUCACUUUCCAGAAAUGACUUCCAGUCAUUUCUGAAAAUGCAUAAAUUAACUCCUGAACAAUUGGACUGCAUUCAUGAUAUCCGAAGACGAAGUAAAAACAGAAUUGCAGCGCAGCGAUGUCGCAAGAGAAAACUUGACUGUAUACAAAAUCUUGAAUCUGAAAUUGAAAAACUGCAAAAUGAGAAGGAGAAUUUGCUGAAGGAAAGAAACCACAUUUUAUCAACUCUGGGUGAGACAAAGCAAAAUCUGACUGGACUUUGCCAGCAGGAUCCACUGAAGUCCUUCAGAUGGAGCCUCAUCAGCUUGCACUCCUACAGGCCUGUCAGAUACUUUUAGGUGGCAGUGAAAAAUGGUGUGUUGAAUCAACAUGUGAAGGUAAUUUAAAUGCAGAUGUUAUAACACUGUUGGUUGGUAUUGUCACACAAUUGCUCGUUGUAAAUAAUUACAACAAGUUAUAAAACUACCCACAUUUACAACAUUUACUUGAAUGCAGAACAAUCAGCUAUCAGCUGUGUGAAAUUAUCAUUAUUAUUUUAAAAGUAGAAGGUUAAAAACCAGGGGACAGCUGCAGGGAUAAAAGACAAUAGAAGUUUGGGGGAUAUCACUGACAGCUGUCUGUUGGGCUGGUCCAUUUUUCACAAGUGGUGUGUGAAUGCAGGAAUCUUAAAAGGUGCAUGGAAUUUUCAGACCCUUAUUCUGGUCUCUGAAGUUAAUCAGUCCUGCUUACCCAUAAAACCAUGGAACUUUGCUAACCUGCAUCUAUCCAGAUGUUAUCCCAAAAAGCCUAUGGACCAGUCACAGUUCUUGUUGAAAAUCUGUCCUGUGAAUUGUUUCACAGGCUUUUAUAAGGACUUUUAAAACACUGACAAUUUCUGUGCUUUUAUGUCCUUUCUUUUUUCCUCCCUCUACAAGAAUUUUUGUAAACCUUUUACAUGCAAAUCAAAAUAGUGGAUGAAGGACUGAACGAGAUUCUGUGCUUUGUGUUAUACAGAAUACCAGAAUUUGUCAUGGUCUUCUGAGUCAUAAAAUUACUAUUUCAGCUUUGUGGUGGACUUACAAGACCUCAAAAUCUUAACAGAGAAAUUUGGAUUCUUAACUGGUUGGAAAUGUCAGAGUAACAGGCAACAACAGAACCGUGUGUGGGGACGUUCUUUUGCAGGCUUUGUCCUUUAGGUGUUUCCCUUCUGCUACAUCCCAGGCUGACAUGAACUGUGUAGUGUAGCCACACCUGCCAGUUCACACCAAUGGACUUUAAAGUAAAAUAAAUUUUGGGGCUUGUAUGCCCUUAGAGUUGCCAUCAGAGGCAUGUGCCUGUUCAAACCAGCUCUCACCAUCCAUCUCUAGCCAUGUGCAUUAAGGACACAACUGGGAGCUGUCUCUGCCCUAAAAGGCAGAGCAUCUGUUGACCUCAAAAAGUAAGAUUUUGUGUAUGUGUGUGACCCCCUUUGUGAACUCUUCAUGUUUUCAUGUAGUACUAUGCAGCUCUGAGUUAAGGCAAAUUAAUCUCUUGCAUUGAACUUUCUUGUGCAUGCUGUCAUUGCUAGUGAGGGAAAAAAUACCGUGAUGUGAGCUCCUGAGAGAGCAUGAUGGUGCCUUUCCUUGGGAAGGAAAGCACCUUGCCACAGUAUUGGUAUGGAGAUGAUUGGUUGCCCAAGGGAGGUUAAGGCCAGCAGCAUCUUUCUCUCUUGGCAUUGUGUCCGUGGGAGCAAUCCCCAGGGCUAACCAGUUUUGGGGGUGGUAUCCAAAUUUCAGAGGUUGACUCAUGAAGGAGGAUUACAUUACCUCUCCUUGGGAAGGAAAGCACCUAGCUCCAGUGUUGGUAGUGCAGAUUUGUAGGGUGCCUAUAGAAAUUCUUGGCCAGGAACAACUUUCUCUUGGCACUUUUUGUGUGGAAGCCAUCCCCAGACAUAUUCUGGAGUGGGCUCCUGAAAGAUCAAAUUACCUUUCCUUGGGAAGGAAAGCACCCAGCCCCAUUAUUGGUGGUGCAGACACACCAUGGGGAGUUAACAACCAGGAAUAUUUUAUUUUCUUGGAAACCUUUGUAUGGGAGCAAUCCUUGGACAUGUUCAGUUUUGGAGCUCAGCUUCUUAUUUCAGUGUUGGGCUCAUGAAAGAGGAUGACAGCACCUUUCUUUCAUCAGGAAGGAAUGCACAUAGUGCCAGUGUUGGGGAUUUAGAGAAAAGGCUGCCUAGAGGUGGUAAAAGCCAGCAACAACUUUUUGUCCUGGAUACUUUUGUGUGAGAUCAGUCCCUGAAUGUAUUCAGCACUGCAUGAAUUCAGGAUGGCUCCAAUUUUCAGAGCAGGUCUUCUGAAAAAGAAUGACAAUACCUAUCCAUAGAAAGACAGAGCCUGAUCCCAUUUUCGGUGUUGGAAAUGUGAGGUGUCCAGGGAGUAUAAAAGCCAACAAUAGGUUUCACUUCUAGCACUUUUCCUAUGGGAGCAAUCACCUGUUGUAUUCAUUUUUGGAGCUGGUAUCCAAAGUUAGGAGAGGGGCUUCUGAAGAAGUAUGGCAGUAGCUUUCCUUGGGAAGGAAGGGACAUACUUCCAGUGUUGGCAAUGAUUUAAGGCUAGGAAGGGUUUCUGUCCUGGCACAUUUUGUGUGAGAGCAAUGUAUUCCAUAAUUGUGCAGGCAGUAUGCAGAACUGGGUAAGUGGCUCCUGAAGGAGGUUCCUUUCCUGGGGAAGGAAAGCAUUUAUUGACAGUGAGGGCGCUCUAGAUGAUUGCCUGCUUGAUGGAGGUAAAGGCCAGGAACAUCUUUCUGUCCUGGAACCUUCUGUGUAGGAGCAAAUCUUGAACACAUUCAAUUUGGGAGCUCAGCUGCAAAUUCCAGAGGUGGGAUUCUGAAAUAGGAUGUCACUACUGUUCUUUGGGAAGGAAUGCACAAUAGUCUCAGUGUUGGUGGGAAUUUGCCUUUGUCCUGCAAGAUCAAGGAUAGCAAACCAGAUACAUCAAAAUAAAUUAUUUACUCUCAUAGUCUUCAGAUGACAACAUCCCCUAUUUCGUUACCACCUCCCAAAAAGAAUCAGUCUGGGCUUGGAGCCCAAACAAAAGGUGCCAGGACAGAAAGCUGGUGCUGGCCUUUACCUCUCCUGGGCAGCCUCUCAUCUGCACCACCACCAUGGGGAAUAAGUGCUUUCCUUGCAAAGUUGAAUGCUGCUGCCACAAAUUUCAGAAUACCUCCUCCAAAAUUUGAAUCUGAGCACCAUCAUUAAAGAAAUCCAGGGAUUGCUCCCAAAAAAAAGAUGCCAGAACACUAAGCUGAUACUGGUCCUUCUCUCUCCUUGGCAGACUGUCAUCUGCUCCAACAAUAUUGAGCUUAGUGCUUUUCUGCCCAAGGAAAGGCAGUCACAUCCACUUUCUGGAGCCCACAUUCAAAACGGAAAUCAAAUCUUAACAGGUUCCAAAAUUGAGGCUAUACAGGAGGCCCCAAGAGAACAAACUGUUACUGGCUUUUAGGUCUCCUGAGCAGCCUGGUGACUUCAACCACUGCUGGGGUUACAUGCUUUCUUCCACAAGGAAAGAUACAGUUCACUUUUUGGAGGGCACAUGCAAAAGUUAAAUUCAAUCUUCAAAACUAAAUGGGGCACAGGAUUACUCUCCCAAAAAGAAAUGUCCCAAGAAAAAAGGUUUUAUUGCUGUUUACCUUGUCUGGGCAGCCCAGCAUCUAUACAAAAAACACUGGGGCAAGGUGCUCUCCUUUCCCAGGAAGAUGUUUCACCCCCUUUCUCUCUCCCUCCUACAAAUUUGGAUACCACUGCUCAACUGAAUACAUCCAGGGACUAAUCCGACACAAGACAUUCCAGAACAGAAAGCAGUUGCUGGCCUUAACCUCUGUGAGGCAGCCUUUCAUCUGCAGGAUGAGCUUGUGUAUAUUUCCAAGGAAAGGUGAUGUGAUUCAUGUUCAGGACAUGAGCUCUGACAAAUGGAUCCAAGCUGCAAAGGGAAAAAGUGUUGCUGGUCUUUACCUCCCCUGGGAUGCCUCCUGCAAUUUUGGAUACAUCCAAAGGUUGCUCGCACAAAAAACAUUUUGGGACAAAGUUCUUGCUGGCCUUUACCUUCCUUUGGAAGCUUGUGGUCUGCAGCAGCAACACUGGCAUUACGUUCUGUAUUUCCUAAGGAAUGGAACUGUCACUCAGUUCCUAGGCCCCACUUUGGAAAUUUCAGGCUAAGCUCAAAAAUUGAGUAUGUCCAAGGAUUGCUCCAACACAACAGGUGCCAGGCUAGAAAGCUGUUCCUGGCUUUCACCUCCAGUGGGCAGCCUGUGACCAGGACUUAAAACAUUGGGUCUCCAGGUUUUCCUUGCCAUGGAACAGCAGUUUACCAGCCAAAGAGGGAGUGCAUGCUGCUAGAGUGUGAUGUGAAUUAAAGGUUGCAAAUGGAAUCUGAAGGCCAGACAAACCUUCCUGCCCUGGCACGUUGCUUUUUUUGCCAGGACUGAUAAUUUCAAGCUGGGAUGUGCACCCUUCACUGCUUCUGGAGGACCAGGACAUUUUCCUCUUUUGCAACUGCACUGUCGCCAUCGUGUGGAGCUGGGCAACUGCAGCAGGGAAGGUAAAAGACACCACAAGCUUUUUGUUGGGACGCUGUUGGUGUGGGAGCAGUGAGUAAACUGUUUGGGAUCUUGGGUCUGUAAGAGGGAAAGAAUGGGAAGGGAUAUAGAGAAGGAAACUGAACAGCACCAGGUGUGCAGAGGCUGCAAGCAGAAGGUGAUGCCCAGCACUUUCUUUUUGUUCUAGGACCUUAAUCUGAGGGUUAUUGGAGAUUUCAAAUUGGCACAUGGACUCACCAGACUGUAGGAGUAUGAGACCCUACAUACAGCUGGCAAGAAAAGUGCAUAGCCCCAGUGCUUGGGUGCACUGAUAGGCAGUGAGGAGAAGGGGCAGUCCAGCAAAUCCUUUUUUGCUGGUACAUUUUUCUGUGUGAGCUGCACUUGUUUAAUUCCCUGUGUCCGCAGCAGCUAUCCCAAAAGCCCAAUUAUGUCCUUUUGGGUCCUUGAAAUACCUUCUCCUGAGGCAAUCUAUGCCCACGAUGUCCUGGGCCUCUGGGCCAGUCACAAUGGGGUGAUUCUGUCAUUUGUUCACAGUCAGGCUCACUCAGCCUCCAGCACAGUCACUGCUGGGAUCCCCCUGCCACCCCAGAAAUACAGAUGGAUUCUGCCCCUACGCAUCUUGACGGCAUCAGGGUACUUUGUGCACCAGUGUCAAUUAAAGCCUUAUAUCUGAUGCCAGCCCACUGGAUCCCAUAGAUCAGAUUGUCCCUUUUCCCCACCUGGCAGGAGACAGGGCCCCUCUAGUUCUCAUCAUGGUACUCACUGCUCACUUCUUGUAAACAUGAACUGGAAUCCUUCAAGAGGACUGGAUUUAACAUUAGCCUUCCUGUUGUGUCUGAGGACUUGCCCACAGGAAAUGGGAAAGGCAUUUAUACCUGUGCUGCCAGGGCAGAGGUGAGUUUUCCAUCCCACUUCUUGAUGUGCUCAUUUAUAUCACAUGCCAUAAGCAUAAAUACUAUUCAGUAUGCAGAUUGCUACAGUUCCCUGAAAUAAAAGGUGGGCAUACACGGAGAAUAACACUUAAUCCAAGGCUACUACAGCUCCCCACCUGCCUUGGACCCCAAGAUCAACUCACCAGUGUUUUCAUGUAUACCAACAGAUUUUUGGAGUGGUUUUCACUUACAUUUAAAUUAAAUGCCUUGAGUUUUUUAGGACUACACUUAGAUGAUAUUUAGUGAUGACAGGAAUGAAAAAUUUGUCUUUACAAACAAGCUGUGGGUCUGUUGGUAGAUAAAACCAGCACUGAGAGAUAAAAGAAACAAUGGGAAGGAUUCCACUGAUUAAUGAAUGGAAAAAGGUAUCUGCUUUUACAAAUGAACUUCAGGUUUGCUGAUAAAUGAAAUUGGACAUUGAAAGAUAAAAUAAACAAUGGGGAAAACCCCUAAAUUUCAAAAGAAUUAAAAAUUUAAAGGGAAGGUUAUACAUUAGAGGAAAAUCUUCAGGAUCAGGUGUAUUGGGAAGUCUGUACCUCUCAAGCACCUCAGUCAAUGGGGAAAGAGAAGGAAAUGUGCCCAGGAAAUUAGGAUAAAAAGGAGGCUGCGUCCUCCAAAAAACUGAGAGGCCCCAGGGGAAAUGCCCCAUGCCCUCUCCCUUUAUUCAAAUAAAAGACUUCUCUGUCUCCUUUUUGGACAUA